GAUGAACGCUGGCGGCGUGCCUAAUACAUGCCAGUCGAGCGAACAGACGAGGAGCUUGCUGCGCUGACGUUAGCGGCGGACGGGUGAGUAACACGUGGAUAACCUACCUAUAAGACUGGGAUAAUUUCGGGAAACCGGAUCUAAUACCGUAGGAUAUUUUGAACCGCAUGGUUGAAUAGUGAAAGUCGGUGUUGCUGUCACUUAUAGAUGGAUCCGCGCUGCAUUAGCUAGUUGGUAAGGUAACGGGUUACCAAGGCAAGGAUGCGUAGACGAACUGAGAGGGUGAUCGCCCACCUGGGAGGGUAGCCAGGCACCUGGGUCCUACGGGAGGCACCAGUAGGGAAUCUUAGGCAAUGGGCGGGAGCAUUGCGGAGUAGCGCCGAGUGAGUGAUGAAGGUCUUCGGUUCGUAAAAAUCUGUUAUUAGGGAAGAACAGAUGUCUAAGUAAAUGUGCACUUCUUGACGGUACCUAGUAAGAAAGCCACGGCUAACUACGUG
RNAcentral lists this ribosomal RNA (497 nucleotides) under uncultured bacterium. RNAcentral's name for it is "partial 16S ribosomal RNA". It matches the Rfam family "Bacterial small subunit ribosomal RNA", at positions 28 to 507 of the family's 1533-position model. The record is from RNAcentral.